This 253-nucleotide ribosomal RNA is filed under the name uncultured bacterium. Its description in RNAcentral is "partial 16S ribosomal RNA". It matches the Rfam family "Bacterial small subunit ribosomal RNA", at positions 524 to 776 of the family's 1533-position model. The record is from RNAcentral.
UACGUAGGGUGCGAGCGUUGUCCGGAAUUACUGGGCGUAAAGAGCUCGUAGGUGGUUUGUCGCGUUGUUCGUGAAAACUCACAGCUCAACUGUGGGCGUGCGGGCGAUACGGGCAGACUGGAGUACUGCAGGGGAGAAUGGAAUUCCCGGUGUAGCGGUGAAAUGCGCAGAUAUCGGGAAGAACACCCGUGGCGAAGGCGGUUCUCUGGGACGGUACUGACGCUGAGACGCGAAAGCGUGGGGAGCGAACAGG